CGGGUGAGUAACGCGUGGGUAACCUGCCUCAUACAGGGGGAUAACAGUUAGAAAUGGCUGCUAAUACCGCAUAAGACCACAGUACUGCAUGGUACAGUGGUAAAAACUCCGGUGGUAUGAGAUGGACCCGCGUCUGAUUAGGUAGUUGGUGAGGUAACGGCCUACCAAGCCGACGAUCAGUAGCUGACCUGAGAGGGUGACCGACCACAUUGGGACUGAGACACGGCCCAG
Molecule: ribosomal RNA, 231 nt
Filed under: uncultured bacterium
Lineage: Bacteria
Description: partial 16S ribosomal RNA
Rfam family: Bacterial small subunit ribosomal RNA
Source: RNAcentral